GGGGAAUAUUGCACAAUGGGCGCAAGCCUGAUGCAGCAACGCCGCGUGAGUGAAGAAGUAUUUCGGUAUGUAAAGCUCUAUCGGCAGGGAAGAAAGGCCCGAAAGGGAGAUGACGGUACCUGACUAAGAAGCCCCGGCUAACUACGUGCCAGCAGCCGCGGUAAUACGUAGGGGGCAAGCGUUAUCCGGAUUUACUGGGUGUAAAGGGAGCGCAGACGGCAGUGCAAGUCUGAUGUGAAAGCCCGGGGCUCAACCCCGGAACUGCAUUGGAAACUGUACAGCUCGAGUGUCGGAGAGGUAAGCGGAAUUCCUAGUGUAGCGGUGAAAUGCGUAGAUAUUAGGAGGAACACCGGUGGCGAAGGCGGCUUACUGGACGAUAACUGACGUUGAGGCUCGAAAGCGUGGGGAGCAAAC
Molecule: ribosomal RNA, 414 nt
Filed under: uncultured bacterium
Lineage: Bacteria
Description: bacterial SSU rRNA
Rfam family: Bacterial small subunit ribosomal RNA
Source: RNAcentral